UACGUAGGAGGCAAGCGUUGUCCGGAAUUACUGGGCGUAAAGAGCGCGUAGGCGGCGCUGUACGACCGCUGUGAAAGCCCCCGGCUCAACUGGGGAGGGUCAGUGGUUACGGCAGUGCUUGGAGUCUAGGAGAGGGGAGUGGAACUCCGGGAGUAGCGGUGAAAUGCGUAGAUACCCGGAGGAACACCAGUGGCGAAGGCGGCUCCCUGGCCUAGUACUGACGCUGUGGCGCGAAAGCUGGGGGAGCGAACGGG
This 254-nucleotide ribosomal RNA is filed under the name uncultured prokaryote. RNAcentral describes it as "partial 16S ribosomal RNA". It matches the Rfam family "Bacterial small subunit ribosomal RNA", at positions 524 to 776 of the family's 1533-position model. The record is from RNAcentral.